GCAAGGGCGACCAAGCGUGGGGAGGAAGUGUAUAGCGAAACCACGAGCCGAUGAACAAGAACCGAAUAUUGAGGCAUUAUCAAUCAGGGCGAGCGGGCACGUCAUCGCGAAGCUCUUGUGGUCAAAGGGAGAUAAUGUAGAUUCGGCGGUUGUGUGGGGAAGGAUUGCAGU
This 171-nucleotide non-coding RNA is filed under the name Granulosicoccus antarcticus IMCC3135. Lineage: Bacteria; Pseudomonadati; Pseudomonadota; Gammaproteobacteria; Chromatiales; Granulosicoccaceae. The record is from RNAcentral.